CUCUCUUCUCCUCUUCGCGCUUCACAUCGAGAAAAGCACAACCCCAAGCCCAGGAGCCAGGAUGCUCACAAUCUCACUCACACAAACCCACAUUCUGCCGGCGCCACCGCUGUCAAUUCCAUUCAGAUGCACCGACAUUGUAGCUUCUAGCCGGUCUUGAGCUGUUUGAUUCUAAUCCAGUCACUGCCUCCUUCUUCUUUUGCCGUCGUCAGCCGCACAAGGUGAGGAUGAUAAGGUUAUGUUUACGAUUCCGAAGAUGAAUGGGACAUGGGGAGAUAUUUUUAAUUAAAUGUACGUUUUUGGGAGUAAAUAUGUUUUGAUUGUAUGUUUCUUCUCCGCCUGGCUGAAGAGAAGCGUUUUAGAUUAUGUUUAUCUGCUUAACGUCAAUUUGGUCUUAACUCUCGAAAAGUGCUUCAAAUUCUCGCAUAUAUUAAAUUGAUUUUCUUUUUUAUUCUGCAUUGAUCAAGGCUGGGAUUUGAGAUUAGUUGGUUACCGACGAAUUUUUGGAAAAUUG
This 514-nucleotide long non-coding RNA is filed under the name Citrus maxima (pomelo). RNAcentral describes it as "long non-coding RNA (CMAX_LNC000801)". Lineage: Eukaryota; Viridiplantae; Streptophyta; Magnoliopsida; Sapindales; Rutaceae. The record is from RNAcentral.